GUGAGGAAUAUUGGUCAAUGGGCGAGAGCCUGAACCAGCCAAGUCGCGUGCAGGAAGACGGUCCUAUGGAUUGUAAACUGCUUUUAUUUAGGAAUAAACCCCCGGUCGUGCACCGGGGCUGAAUGUACUAAAAGAAUAAGCACCGGCUAACUCCGUGCCAGCAGCCGCGGUAAUACGGAGGGUGCAAGCGUUAUCCGGAAUCAUUGGGUUUAAAGGGUCCGCAGGCGGGUAAAUAAGUCAGAGGUGAAAUCCGGCAGCUCAACUGUCGCACUGCCUUUGAUACUGUUUAUCUUGAAUUUUAGUGGAGUGGGCGGAAUAUGUCAUGUAGCGGUGAAAUGCUUAGAUAUGACGUGGAACACCGAUAGCGAAGGCAGCUCACUAACUAUGAAUUGACGCUCAUGGACGAAAGCGUGGGUAGCAAACAGGAUUAGAUACCCCGGUAGUCC
Molecule: ribosomal RNA, 446 nt
Filed under: uncultured bacterium
Lineage: Bacteria
Description: partial 16S ribosomal RNA
Rfam family: Bacterial small subunit ribosomal RNA
Source: RNAcentral